Molecule: regulatory RNA element, 206 nt
Organism: Citrobacter koseri ATCC BAA-895
Lineage: Bacteria; Pseudomonadati; Pseudomonadota; Gammaproteobacteria; Enterobacterales; Enterobacteriaceae
Rfam family: FMN riboswitch aptamer (RFN element)
About the family: The RFN element is a highly conserved domain that is found frequently in the 5'-untranslated regions of prokaryotic mRNAs that encode for flavin mononucleotide (FMN) biosynthesis and transport proteins.
Source: Rfam
GCUUAUUCUCAGGGCGGGGCGAAAUUCCCCACCGGCGGUAAAUCAACGUAUGGCCAAAAGAUUUCGCGUUGCGGCAAUGCAGCAGCGGCGUGAAAGAUGAAGGACAGGUUGAAAGCCCGCGAGCGCUUCAGGUGCAAAUCUGAAGGUCAGCAGAUCCGGUGUAAUUCCGGGGCCGACGGUUAAAGUCCGGAUGGGAGAGAGUAACG